GAUGAACGCUGGCGGCGUGCCUAAUACAUGCAAGUCGAGCGAACGGACGAGAAGCUUGCUUUUCUGAUGUUAGCGGCGGACGGGUGAGUAACACGUGGAUAACCUACCUAUAAGACUGGGAUAACUUCGGGAAACCGGAGCUAAUACCGGAUAAUAUUUUGAACCGCAUGGUUCAAAAGUGAAAGACGGUCUUGCUGUCACUUAUAGAUGGAUCCGCGCUGCAUUAGCUAGUUGGUAAGGUAACGGCUUACCAAGGCAACGAUGCAUAGCCGACCUGAGAGGGUGGUCGGCCACACUGGAACUGAGACACGGUCCAGACUCCUACGGGAGGCAGCAGCAGGGAAUCUUCCGCAAUGGGCGAAAGCCUGACGGAGCAACGCCGCGUGAGUGAUGAAGGUCUUCGGAUCGUAAAACUCUGUUAUUAGGGAAGAACAUAUGUGUAAGUAACUGUGCACAUCUUGACGGUACCUAAUCAGAAAGCCACGGCUAACUACGUG
Molecule: ribosomal RNA, 497 nt
Filed under: uncultured bacterium
Lineage: Bacteria
Description: partial 16S ribosomal RNA
Rfam family: Bacterial small subunit ribosomal RNA
Source: RNAcentral